Molecule: long non-coding RNA, 776 nt
Filed under: Salmo salar (Atlantic salmon)
Lineage: Eukaryota; Metazoa; Chordata; Actinopteri; Salmoniformes; Salmonidae
Description: lncRNA (ENSSSAG00000120214.1)
Source: RNAcentral
GUUGAAGGACUGUGAGGAGGGGAGGUCUGUUGAAGGACUGUGAGGAGUGGAGGUCUGUUGAAGGACUGUGAGGAGGGGAGGUCUGUUGAAGGACUGUGAGGAGUGGAGGUCUGUUGAAGGACUGUGAGGAGGGGAGGUCUGUUGAAGGACUGUGAGGAGGGGAGGUCUGUGAGGAGGGGAGGUCUGUUGAAGGACUGUGAGGAGGGGAGGUCUGUUGAAGGACUGUGAGGAGGGGAGGUCUGUUGAAGGACUGUGAGGAGGGGAGGUCUGUUGAAGGACUGUGAGGAGGGGAGGUCUGUUGAAGGACUGUGAGGAGGGGAGGUCUGUUGAAGGGCUGUGAGGAGGGGAGGUCUGUUGAAGGACUGUGAGGAGUGGAGGUCUGUUGAAGGACUGUGAGGAGGGAAGGACUGUGAGGAGGGGAGGUCUGUUGGAGGACUGGUGUGUGGCCGGCAGCGAGUUGCCACAUCGUCAUCCUCAGCACAGGCAUCUUCUUCAUCACCUCAGAGUGUGUGUGUGUGUGUGUGUGUGUGUGUGUGUGUGUGUGUGUGGCUGGGUGGGUGGGUUACAUUCUGAGUGUAAUUUGUCACUAGAUACCCGUCCAAAAUUGUAAUCGGUAACAUAACUGUUGGGAUUACCCAAACUCAGGAACAUAACUGUUGGGAUUACCCAAACUCAGUGACAUAACUGUUGGGAUUACCCAAACUCAGGAACAUAACUGUUGGGAUUACCCAAACUCAGGAACAUAACUGUUGGGAUUACCCAAACUCAGGAACAUA